Molecule: long non-coding RNA, 1830 nt
Organism: Pogoniulus pusillus (Red-fronted tinkerbird)
Lineage: Eukaryota; Metazoa; Chordata; Aves; Piciformes; Lybiidae
Exons: 2
Source: RefSeq, a predicted model, not a curated record
AGACCACAGACAGCCCUUAGUCUGCACCACACCAGCAGCCCUGCAGUUAAGGGUGCAGGGAUAUUCCCAGUCUCUUCCGUCACAGCUGCAUCACUGUGAAGAGAGAACAGGCAGGUUUCCCUGGGCAAUAGGCUGGCAGGUCACCAUGCUGCCAGCUCUGGUCCUGUGCCAGAGCUGAGAUCCAGCAGACUUUUCUCCAUCCAUGUCGGCAGCUGAGCUGUGAGUCUUCGGUGCUUGGUUCCACCUCCAGCCUGCUGCAUGCUGUGGCUGGCUGCAGUGGCUUGCCUGGUGGAAGUCACAGCUGAGUAGAGCUCCCUAUAAACAGACUUACUCCUCCUCUCACUGCCUGCCAAGUGCCAGGCACUGCUUGCUGUAACCAUCUUCCCAGAGAGCCUCCAGUCUGGUUCCUUGCAGAGCUGAUACAUUGGGGGUUGUUUGUACAAGCUGAUUUUAAGUAUGUAAUUUCUCUCCUAAAUUAGAUGUCUAGACUCCUGCUAUAAUCAAAGGUGAGAGGCAGGUUCCUAAUUACACUGCUUUAAAUUACACCCUGAAAGAUCCCUUGUCUGUACGGGGAGCAUGGGCACCUUACGUAGGUGCUUAAAAUGGUUUUGAACAUUCCCUGUUGUGUGCUGGGUCUGCCACUGCUGCUGCAAACAAAUACAGAACCUCCUCAGCUUGUGUAAAUCAAAAGCUUUAGCUUCUUAAAGGGGAAAUGUUAGUAGCACUUGGAUGGAAAUUAACUGGAGAGUGCAUUUAUUUUUGGCCAGUCCCCUGGGAGCACCUGCCAAGCAUUACUUCUCAUUUCAAGCCUGGCUGUUCCUGCUGAGAAAGUCUGAUGGAGCUUCGAGUCUGGGUCAAGGGACAGAAAUCACUGGCUGAGAAUCUACAGGCCUGAACCCAAAGAAAACAUGCCUCAAGAAUCAGUGUAACUACUCUGGGCCAAGGCUGUUUGGUUUUUUUUUUCCCCUCAGCCUUCUCCAGAAGUCUGCAGAACCCAAAAAGGACUGCAGAGGGUAAGGGGACGUUCAGUGGGUCAAUGAAGACCUGUAAAAGAGCUUUCCUGCCUUUCCCAACAGUUAAUAACUUUGUUGCACAGAACUUAGCUUUUCAGAAGGACUUUGUGUGGUUUUUGGCUGCCUGAGGACUGGUGAGAGAUGUUCGUAGUUACAAAUGGGGAGACUGUUUUUUUUUAAGGGGAAAACCUUCCCAAACUCUCAAACUUGUUUUCCCCAAAACCUUUGUUCCUGUGGCUGGGAGUGUGCAGUGUUACCUGCAGUAGUAAAAUGGUGCAUAAAGCAGCCUUAUUCUGCCUGAGAAGUGUGGGAAUUUGAGUACAGAACAGGGAGUGUCAGACAGUCGAGUUGUCUGCCUUGUCUUUUGCCCCUCACCUGGGACAGGUGUGAUGUAUGUGGCUGGGUUAGUAUAAUGGUGACAUGGUCACUGGCAAUGAGCAGGUACAACUCAGGGCCUGGGAGGAAGGUGGGUUUGUUGCCAAGUACUGGAUGCUGGCUCUUGGAGAAAAGAGAUGACUACCUUCUUGGCUCCUGAACUGAAAGGAGGCUUUUAGCACAGCUAAAUUGUACGUGUCCCUCAGGAAGGAUUUCAAGGCCAAACCACUAAAAGAACCCAGGCUCUUUUAAUCUAAAUACAGUCCUAGAAAACAACCGUGGGCUCAGUUGAAGAUGCCCUCUGUCUUGUACAAUGUCAUCUCUCCUUUGUGUGUAAGGGUUUCCUUGUUUACUCAUUAUUCCACCUGUAAUGGAAAAGUUCCAUUAAAUGUAGCAGAAGUUAUGUGCCAAAAAAAAAAGGCUUUUAAAAUCUAAAAUGGGU